Budorcas taxicolor (takin) is the source of this 458-nucleotide non-coding RNA. The record is from the annotation of a RefSeq genome assembly. Lineage: Eukaryota; Metazoa; Chordata; Mammalia; Artiodactyla; Bovidae.
ACAGACGGCAGGACGCCCUGACCGUGUCCACCAUGGCCUGGUCCCCUCUGCUCCUCACCCUGGUCGCUCUCUGCACAGGAUCCUGGGCCCAGGCUGUGCUGACUCAGCCGUCCUCCGUGUCCGGGUCCCUGGGCCAGAGGGUCUCCAUCACCUGCUCUGGAAGCAGCAGCAACAUCGGUAGAUAUGGUGUAGGCUGGUUCCAACAACUCCCAGGAUCAGGCCUCAGAACCGUCAUAUAUUAUAGUAGCAAUCGACCCUCGGGGGUCCCCGACCGAUUCUCUGGCUCCAGGUCUGGCAACACAGCCACCCUGACCAUCAGCUCGCUCCAGGCUGAGGACGAGGCCGAUUAUUACUGUACAGCUUAUGAUAGUAGUAGCAGCAAUGGCACAGUGCUCCAGGCCAGGGGGGAAGCGAGACAAAAACCUGCUCUCCCCCAAGUCACGGGCCUCCCGGGCUGA